UGAGGCUUCAUGUCUUGUAAUUGGAAUGAGAACAAUUUAAAUCCCUUACCGAGUAUCAAUUGGAGGGCAAGUCUGGUGCCAGCAGCCGCGGUAAUUCCAGCUCCAAUAGCGUAUAUUAAAGUUGUUGCAGUUAAAAAGCUCGUAGUUGGAUUUGUGGUGUGUCCAGUCGGCCUUUGCUCUUUGAGUGAUUGUGCUGUACUGGUCUGCCAUGUUUGGGUGGAAUCUGUGUGGCAUUAGGUUGUCGUGCAGGGGAUGCCCAUCGUUUACUGUGAAAAAAUUAGAGUGUUCAAAGCAGGCUUAUGCCGUUGAAUAUAUUAGCAUGGAAUAAUGAUAUAGGACCUUGGUACUAUUUUGUUGGUUUGCGCACUAAGGUAAUGAUUAAGAGGGACAGUUGGGGGUAUUUGUAUUCCAUUGUCAGAGGUGAAAUUCUUGGAUUUUUGGAAGACAAACUACUGCGAAAGCAUUUACCAAGGAUGUUUUCAUUAAUCAAGAACGAAAGUUAGGGGAUCG
This 510-nucleotide ribosomal RNA is filed under the name uncultured diatom. Its description in RNAcentral is "SSU rRNA". It matches the Rfam family "Eukaryotic small subunit ribosomal RNA", at positions 486 to 1000 of the family's 1831-position model. The record is from RNAcentral. Lineage: Eukaryota; Bacillariophyta.